AUUGAACGCUGGCGGCAGGCCUAACACAUGCAAGUCGAACGGUAACAGGAAGCUGCUUGCUUCUUUGCUGACGAGUGGCGGACGGGUGAGCAAUGUCUGGGCAACUGCCUGAUGGAGGGGGACAACUACUGGAAGCGGUUGCUACUACCGCAUAACGUCGAAAGACCAGAGAGGGUGACCCCCGGGCCUCUUGUCUUCGGCUGGGCCCAGUUGGGAUUAGCUAGUAGGUGGGGUAACGGCUCCCCUAGGCGACGAUCCCUAGCUGGUCUGAGAGGAUGACCAGCCACACUGGAACUGAGACACGGUCCAGACUCCUACGGGAGGCAGCAGUGGGGAAUAUUGCACAAUGGGCGCAAGCCUGAUGCAGCCAUGCCGCGUGUAUGAAGAAGGCCUUCGGGUUGUAAAGUACUUUCAGCGGGGAGGAAGGGAGUAAAGUUAAUACCUUUGCUCAUUGACGUUACCCGCAGAAGAAGCACCGGCUAACUCCGUG
RNAcentral lists this ribosomal RNA (490 nucleotides) under uncultured bacterium. RNAcentral describes it as "partial 16S ribosomal RNA". It matches the Rfam family "Bacterial small subunit ribosomal RNA", at positions 30 to 507 of the family's 1533-position model. The record is from RNAcentral.